Molecule: ribosomal RNA, 253 nt
Filed under: uncultured Gardnerella sp.
Lineage: Bacteria; Bacillati; Actinomycetota; Actinomycetes; Bifidobacteriales; Bifidobacteriaceae
Description: partial 16S ribosomal RNA
Rfam family: Bacterial small subunit ribosomal RNA
Source: RNAcentral
CGGGUGAGUAAUGCGUGACCAACCUGCCCCAUGCUCCAGAAUAGCUCUUGGAAACGGGUGGUAAUGCUGGAUGCUCCAACUUGACGCAUGUCUUGUUGGGAAAGUGUUUAGUGGCAUGGGAUGGGGUCGCGUCCUAUCAGCUUGUAGGCGGGGUAAUGGCCCACCUAGGCUUCGACGGGUAGCCGGCCUGAGAGGGCGGACGGCCACAUUGGGACUGAGAUACGGCCCCAGACUCCUACGGGAGGCAGCAGCC